GCCGCGGUAAUUCCAGCUCCAAUAGCGUAUAUUAAUGUUGCUGCAGUUAAAAAGCUCGUAGUUGGAUUUCUGACUUGGCGCACCUGGCCCGCCACGGUUACGUGUGUGAGUGCCGGGAUGCGCCUGUCACUUUUCUAGUAAACUAUUGUGCUCUUCAUUGAGUGUGAUAGGUAGCUAGAUAAUUUACUUUGAAAAAAUUAGAGUGUUUAAAGCAGGCGUUUGCUAUGAAUACAUUAGCAUGGAAUAAUAACUUAGGACUUCGGUUCUAUUUUGUUGGUUUCUAGGACUGAAGUAAUGAUUGAUAGGGAUAGUUGGGGGUGCUAGUAUUCAGCGGCCAGAGGUGAAAUUCUCGGAUUCGCUGAAGACUAACUUAUGCGAAAGCAUUCACCAAGGAUGUCUUCUUUAAUCAAGAACGAAAGUUGGGGGAUCGAAGACGAUCAGAUACCGUCGUAGUCUCAACCGUAAACUAUGCCGACUAGGGAUGAGUGAACGUUGCAUAAUCGACUUCAUUCGCACCUUAUGAGAAGUCAAAGUCCUUGGGUUCCGGGGGGAGUAUGGUCGCAAGGCUGAAACUUAAAGGAAUUGACGGAAGGGCACCACCAGGAGUGGAGCCUGCGGCUUAAUUUGACACAACACGGGGAAACUUACCAGGUCCAGACUCAGUGAGGAUUGACAGAUUGAAGAUCUUUCUUGAUUUUGAGGGUGGUGGUGCAUGGCCGUUCUUAGUUGGUGGAGCGAUUUGUCUGGUUUAUUCCGUUAACGAACGAGACCACGACCUGCUAAAUAGUUCAAGUUAGGGUUCGCUCUAGCUGUUGUGACUUCUUAGAGGGACUAUCGGUGUGUAGCCGAUGGAAGUUCGUGGCAAUAACAGGUCUGUGAUGCCCUUCGAUGUUCUGGGCCGCACGCGCGCUACACUGAUGCAUUCAUCGAGCUACAACCUUGUCUGAGAGGACUGGGUAAUCUUUGAAAAUGCAUCGUGCUGGGGAUAGAUUAUUGUAAUUAUUAAUCUUCAACGAGGAAUUCCCAGUAAACGCGUGUCAUCAACACGCAUUGAUUACGUCCCUGCCCUUUGUACACACCGCCCGUCGCUACUACCGAUUGAAUGAAUUAGUGAGCUCCAGAGAUCGAGCUGUUUCGGGCAACCGGGGCUGUUUGAGAACUGGAUCAAACUUGCUCAUUUAGAGGAAGUAAAAGUCGUA
RNAcentral lists this ribosomal RNA (1199 nucleotides) under metagenome. Its description in RNAcentral is "SSU rRNA". It matches the Rfam family "Eukaryotic small subunit ribosomal RNA", at positions 573 to 1793 of the family's 1831-position model. The record is from RNAcentral.